This 253-nucleotide ribosomal RNA is filed under the name uncultured bacterium. RNAcentral's name for it is "partial 16S ribosomal RNA". It matches the Rfam family "Bacterial small subunit ribosomal RNA", at positions 524 to 776 of the family's 1533-position model. The record is from RNAcentral.
UACGUAGGGUCCGAGCGUUGUCCGGAUUCAUUGGGCGUAAAGAGCUCGUAGGCGGCUGCUCAAGUCGAAUGUGAAAACUCGAGGCUCAACCUCGAGCCUGCAUUCGAUACUGGGCGGCUAGAGUCUGGUAGGGGGAUCUGGAAUUCCUGGUGUAGCGGUGGAAUGCGCAGAUAUCAGGAGGAACACCGGUGGCGAAGGCGGGAGCCUGGGCCAGUACUGACGCUGAGGAGCGAAAGCGUGGGGAGCAAACAGG